CUUGCUUCUUGAAAAACUCACUGGUGCCCUUCUUUUCCCAUAGGAGAGGUUUUUGGUCUGCAUCUUGUUUUGGAGGUUUGUGUGGACAUAGGAUGCCUGGUGAGUUCUGGAGAUGGAUUUGGACAGGAGGAAACCCCAACCCAACACUGUCAUACCUUGUUACACAACAGUCCCAUACCUUGUUUUCCCCCAAAACCAGGAUUUGUCAUUUCUAAGCCUUGGCUGGAUGGAGAAGGAGGCUGUAAGAAAGAGGAAGAUGCCCCAGGACACUGAGGCAGGCACUGAGCUGCAGGCAGAGACCAGGGAGGAGAAAUUCCCCUGGCAGAACAUUGCAGAAGAGGCCGUUUUGAGCAUCUCCACAGCACAGUAAUCCAACGGGAGGAAAAACCUUAGAGAUAUCCCAUGAGGAAGGGCUCCAAAUCCAACCCAGGGUGCUCCAAGGAGGAAAGACCCAUCCCUGUGCCAGGAAGGCAGCUAGAGCUUCAGCCAAAGCUCAGACCUGGUGGUCUACAAGUAGCAUCAUAUUGGUGAGAAUCACUACAGGUGCUUGGAAUAUUGGAAAGAGCUUCAGCCAGAGAUCCCACCUGAUCUGCCACCAGAAGAUCCACACCUGGGAACAGCCAUACAAGUGCCUGAAAUGUGGGAAGGACUUCAGUGAUGACUCCGACCUCAUCAUCCACCAGAGCCUGCACACUGGGGAGCAGCCCUACACAUGCAGGGAAUGUAGGAAGAGCUUCAGCCAGAGUUCCAAACUUCUCUCUCUCCCACCAGCUUGUCCACACUGGGGAGCGGCCCUACCAGUGCCCCAGCUGCAGAAAGAGAUUCAGCUUCAGAUCCCACUUGAUCUACCACCAGAAGAUCCACAGUAAGGAACAGCCCUACAAGUGUCCUGUGUGUGGGAAGAGUUUUCAGAGGCGCUCCCAUCUGGUCAUGCGUGAGCAAACACACACAGAGGGAGAGGCCCUUCUGCUGCCCCGACUGUGGGAAGGGCUUCAAGCACAACUUCACCUUCAUCAUACCCACCAGCACAUCCACAACACUGAGAGGCCCUACAAGUGUCCUGAGUAUGGGAAGAGCUUCUCCUACAGCUCUGUCUUGAUUUCACACCAAUGGACCCAUGAGUAGGGGAAGCCCUACAAGUGCCCUGACUUCAGGAAGAGUUUUAUCUCCUGGUCCAACUUCAUCACCUACUAGAGGACCCAUGUUGCAUUAUCCACAGUGACCCAUGUUGUGCAAAAACAUGGUGAUCCACAUUCCUGGUGAUCCAUGUUGAGUGAAAACCUGGUGACCUAUGUUCCACAUGAUCCACAUUGGGAAGACACCUGGCUGCUGGUCUUUGGGCACCUGGAUGAAUGCAGGGGAAAACUUCUAUCAGGAUGGGGUCUGACACUGGAAAUUGAAGUACUGAGCCUGAACAGCAGGCCCUGCGCCAAAGUUGAUCUCUAGAUGAACCUUCCAACCAAACAUUAUAUGAUACUUGCAUCUGCUAAUUAGUGAAAUAUCAAUGAUCAUUAGUGAAA
This is a long non-coding RNA of Haemorhous mexicanus (house finch), 1520 nucleotides long. RefSeq lists it as uncharacterized. Lineage: Eukaryota; Metazoa; Chordata; Aves; Passeriformes; Fringillidae. The record is from RefSeq and is a predicted model, not a curated record. The transcript has 2 exons.